GACGAACGCGGCGGCGUGCCUAAUACAUGCAAGUAGAACGCUGAAGGAGGAGCUUGCUUCUCUGGAUGAGUUGCGAACGGGUGAGUAACGCGUAGGUAACCUGCCUGGUAGCGGGGGAUAACUAUUGGAAACGAUAGCUAAUACCGCAUAACAGUAGAUGUUGCAUGACAUUUGCUUAAAAGGUGCAAUUGCAUCACUACCAGAUGGACCUGCGUUGUAUUAGCUAGUUGGUGGGGUAACGGCUCACCAAGGCGACGAUACAUAGCCGACCUGAGAGGGUGAUCGGCCACACUGGGACUGAGACACGGCCCAGACUCCUACGGGAGGCAGCAGUAGGGAAUCUUCGGCAAUGGACGGAAGUCUGACCGAGCAACGCCGCGUGAGUGAAGAAGGUCUUCGGAUCGUAAAGCUCUGUUGUAAGAGAAGAACGAGUGUGAGAGUGGAAAGUUCACACUGUGACGGUAUCUACCA
RNAcentral lists this ribosomal RNA (471 nucleotides) under Streptococcus mitis. RNAcentral describes it as "bacterial SSU rRNA". It matches the Rfam family "Bacterial small subunit ribosomal RNA", at positions 28 to 485 of the family's 1533-position model. The record is from RNAcentral. Lineage: Bacteria; Bacillati; Bacillota; Bacilli; Lactobacillales; Streptococcaceae.